GAAUAUUGGUCAAUAGCCUAACGGCUGAACCAGCAACUUGGAAGAAUGUAAUUAUUGCAUGUAAAUGUGAUUUCAAAAAAAUUGAGUAAAGUUCUAGAUAGAAUUAUGAUAAUGACAUUAUCUAUCUAUAAGUCUUGACUAAGUCACGUGCCAGCAGUCGCGGUAAUACGUGGAAGACGUGUGUUAUUCAUCUUUAAUAGGUUUAAAGGGUACCUAGACGGUUAAUAAAGCCAAAAAAGGGACUAAUUAACUAGAGUUUUAUAUGAGAAGGAUCGAGUACGAUGAGAGUAGAGUUAAAAUUCUGUGAUACCAUUUAGAAACUGGUAACGGCGAAAGCAACCUUCUAUCUAAAAACUGACGUUAAGGGACGAAGGCUCGAUCAAGGAAUAGGAGUAGAACCCUAGUACUGUGAGCAGACAAUGAUGAAUGUCAUAUAUAAGAUAAAAUUUUAUGUAUAAAUGAAAGUGUAAGCAUUCCACCUUAAGAGUAAUAUGGCAACAUAGAAAUUGAAAUCAUUAGACCGUUUCUGAAACCAGUAGUGAAGUAUGUUGUUUAAUUUGAUGGUCCACGGAAAACCUUACCACAAUUUGAAUUGUUAUAUUAAAUAAUAUAAUACAGGUGCUGCAUGGCUGUCUUCAGUUAAUGUCGUGAGACUAGGUUAGUUCCAGUAAAUUAACGUAAACCCUUACUUUAUUUUUAUAAAGUAGUUCGCUAUUAUAUCGGUGUAGAUAUAAGGGACCAAGACAAGUCAUCAUGGCCUAAAUAUUGUGGGCUAUAGA
This 779-nucleotide ribosomal RNA is filed under the name Claviradulomyces dabeicola. RNAcentral's name for it is "mitochondrial SSU rRNA". It matches the Rfam family "Bacterial small subunit ribosomal RNA", at positions 359 to 1220 of the family's 1533-position model. The record is from RNAcentral. Lineage: Eukaryota; Fungi; Ascomycota; Lecanoromycetes; Ostropales; Odontotremataceae.